AGUGAGAUAGCUGGGUAAAAUGGUGGUUGAUUCCCAGUUUUCUGAGGAAUCUCCAUACUGCUUUCUAUAGUGGUUGCACCAAUUUUCAAUCCCACCAGCAAU
RNAcentral lists this microRNA precursor (102 nucleotides) under Marmota monax (woodchuck). The record is from RNAcentral. Lineage: Eukaryota; Metazoa; Chordata; Mammalia; Rodentia; Sciuridae.